This 301-nucleotide ribosomal RNA is filed under the name uncultured bacterium. Its description in RNAcentral is "partial 16S ribosomal RNA". It matches the Rfam family "Bacterial small subunit ribosomal RNA", at positions 509 to 807 of the family's 1533-position model. The record is from RNAcentral.
CAGUCGCCGCGGGAAUACGAAGGGUGCAAGCGUUAAUCGGAAUUACUGGGCGUAAAGCGUGCGCAGCCGGUUUGUUAAGACAGAUGUGAAAUCCCCGGGCUCAACCUGGGAACUGCAUUUGUGACUGGCAAGCUAGAGUCUGGCAGAGGGGGGUGGAAUUCCGCGUGUAGCAGUGAAAUGCGUAGAUAUGCGGAGGAACACCGAUGGCGAAGGCAGCCCCCUGGGCCAACACUGACGCUCAUGCACGAAAGCGUGGGGAGCAAACAGGAUUAGAUACCCCGGUAGUCCCUGUCUCUUAUAC